CACACACGCACACACACACAUAGAGAGGGAGAGGGAGAGGACAGCCAGCCAGCCAGACUGCCAAUUCCCCACAGUCUACUGAAGGAAGCCUAAAUAUCCACCUAUCUCAACACUCUCCGUUUAGCCAAGCCAGUAAGAGAUUUGUUUAUAAAUAUAUAUAUAUUUUAAAUAACCCAAAUUUAUUUGAAAGGAAAAAAAAUACGGAGCAUCUGUCAGGAAAGAGCAGUGGAAAAAAACAACAAGCAGAGCUAGAAAAGCACGCUCAUGCCGAAUAAAGGACCGUCGCUGGAUGUUACUUGUGUUGUUUUAGGGGGCGUGCGGGCCUAACUUGUUACAGGAUCCAAAGACGCUCUGGCAGACAGAUGAACUGAGUAAUUUGAGGUUUGAUAAGUAAACAACAGCGAGGGGGGAAAAGAAGAAGAAGAAAGGCAUCAACUGAUCGCGCCGAUUCUUGCCACAAACAGCACCACAGACUUCUCAAUGAAGGAGCCUGACGCCAUCAAGCUCUUCAUCGGGCAAAUACCCCGAAACCUGGAGGAGAAGGACCUGAAGCCCAUCUUUGAGCAGUUUGGCAAGAUCUAUGAGUUGACGGUGAUAAAGGACAAGUACACGGGGAUGCACAAAGGAUGUGCCUUCCUGACAUACUGUGCACGUGAGUCUGCCCUGAAAGCCCAGAAUGCACUGCACGAGCAGAAGACGCUACCGGGGAUGAACCGCCCAAUCCAAGUGAAGCCUGCAGACAGCGAAAGCAGAGGGGAAGACAGGAAGCUGUUUGUGGGCAUGCUGGGAAAGCAGCAGACGGACACCGAUGUGAGGAAAAUGUUCGAGCCAUUCGGCAGCAUAGAGGAGUGCACGGUGCUCCGCGGGCCUGACGGUACCAGCAAAGGGUGUGCAUUUGUAAAGUUCCAGAGCAACGCAGAGGCCCAGGCCGCCAUCAACGCUCUGCACGGAAGUCGUACUCUACCUGGCGCCUCGUCCAGCUUGGUGGUAAAGUUUGCAGAUUCUGAGAAAGAGCGAGGGCUCAGACGGAUGCAGCAGGUGGCCUCCCAGCUUGGAGUCAUCAGUCCCAUGACCCUGCACCUCGGGGCCUACAACGCCUACACGCAGGCCCUGAUGCAGCAGCAGGCCUUGGUGGCGCAGUCAGCUUACCUCUCUCCUGUUGCCACCGUGGCUGCAGUUCAGAUGCAGCAGCUCGCUGCCCUCAACCCCAGCAGCAUCAUUGCCACGCCGAUUGCAUCCAUCACCCCGUCCUCAGGUACCAGCACUCCACCCUCCAUCGCAGCUACACCCGUUCCUGCUCUGGCUCCACCAAUCGCAGUGAACAGCUACCCCUCUGUGCCAGCACCACCCAACGGCCAGCCAGCUACAGAAACCCUGUACACUAACGGGGUUCAUGCCUAUCAAGCUCAGAGUCCUGUGCUGGACCCCCUGCAGCAAGCUUAUACAGGCAUGCAGCACUAUACAGCCACCUACCCUGCUGCCUAUGGCCUGGUGGGACAGCCGUUCCCUCACCAGCCCACGCUGGUGGCCCAGCAACCACAGCAGCCACAGCAGCUGCAGCAAAGAGAAGGUCCCGAGGGCUGUAACAUCUUCAUCUACCACCUGCCACAGGAGUUCACUGACUCUGAGAUACUGCAGAUGUUCUUGCCCUUUGGAAACGUCAUCUCUGCAAAGGUCUUCGUCGACCGUGCCACCAAUCAGAGUAAAUGCUUUGGGUUUGUGAGUUUCGAUAACCCAUCCAGCGCCCAGACUGCCAUCCAGGCAAUGAACGGCUUCCAGAUUGGCAUGAAGAGACUGAAAGUGCAGCUUAAGAGGCCCAAGGAUGCCAACAGGCCUUACUGAAGGAGAAAGAGAGAAAAAAACAAACAAACAAAAAAACGCCACACCACUCUCAAGACUGUCCCGUCCAUACAUAUAUGGUGAAGACGUGCGUCGCUAUGGGUACAGUUGCCUAGCAACCGCUAAAACCUACUACCUCCCCUUCCUUCUCACUGCGUUGAAAGUGUUCAAUCAAGAAAAACCACUUGGGAUGUCCCAGCCUUUUUUGGUUGUUUGACCAACCGUAUAGCACAGGAGCAACACUUCACAUAAAGCAGUAUCACGUGUAUGCGCUUUACAAAAACAAACAGCAGUGCAGCAGCAGCAGUAAUAUCAGCAACAAACGCAUCGACUGAAUCAGCAUCCGCAAUAUGAGAAGUGCUCCCGAGUUCCUAUCAUUCCACAGCUGGAUUCAUUUAUAUAUGUACAUAUCUAUUGUUGGCAACAAGAUAUACAUGUUAAGAAAAAGCAUAUCACUGAUGUUAUUCUACUGAACAGGGUUCUACUGUAUAGUGUGAUUUGUGGUCUGCGGCGUUAACAGAAGGCCAGUCUACACAGUCGGAGGCAAAAGAAAAUACUACUCUGUAUGAUUACCAUUGGUAAUAUUGUUAUGUAGAGUUAGUUUUAUUAUUUAUAUGUAAAUUUAAAAACAAUGGGGGUACUUAAGCUGGAAGAGAAAUGGAUUUCCUCUCACUGUAAAUACUUUGGUUUAAAAAAAAAAAAAAGGAGGACUCUAAAACUUCACCAGUUAAUAUUCUCUGCUGCCACAACUUUUAAAAAUUAACAAAGCGGAAGGAAGGGCUGGGAAUUUUUCUAUCUUGAUUUUUUACGUUUUAAUUUAUUUGGUAAUCAAUUUGACGGCGGGGGACAUGUGACAAUUUCUUUUUUAAUUUAAGAAGAAGAAGAAGAAAGAAGAAAAAAAAAACAGGAUUCCUGUGGUCUUCAUGAUGAUGAACACUACUGCUAUUAUAGAGUUUUUAAUUACAUAAAUGUACCUAUGGAAGUGGAAAAAAACGUUUCUUUAUUUAUUCUCUACAAUCGCUGUUUUAAAACAUAUGUCUUUAAAAGAAAAUAAAGUACAAU
This is an RNA transcript of Pelmatolapia mariae (spotted tilapia), 2901 nucleotides long. It is a transcript of the gene named cugbp, Elav-like family member 3a, with no coding region annotated. Lineage: Eukaryota; Metazoa; Chordata; Actinopteri; Cichliformes; Cichlidae. The record is from RefSeq and is a predicted model, not a curated record. The transcript is spliced from 15 exons.